Molecule: long non-coding RNA, 1222 nt
Filed under: Capra hircus (goat)
Lineage: Eukaryota; Metazoa; Chordata; Mammalia; Artiodactyla; Bovidae
Description: lncRNA (ENSCHIG00000004965.1)
Source: RNAcentral
CAUCCCACCCCCACGGACCAGCAUCCCACCCCUACGGACCAGCAUACCAUCUCCACGGACCAGCAUCCCACCCCCACGGACCAGCAUCCCACCCCCACGGACCAGCAUCCCACCCCCACGGACCAGCAUCCCACCCCCACGGACCAUCAUCCCACCCCAAUGGACCAUCAUUCCACCCCCACGGACCAGUAUCCCACCCCCACGGACCAUCAUCCCACCUCCACGGACCAGUAUCCCAUCUCCACGGACCAGCAUCCCACCCCCACGGACCAUCAUCCCACCCCCACGGACCAGCAUCCCAUCUCCAUGGACCAGCAUCCCAUCUCCAUGGACCAGCAUCCCACCUCUAUGGAUCAGCAUCCCUCCUCCAUGUUCAAGUUAACCAGGAGAAUCAGGGUUAGAAACAGGUCAAAGCAAGUUGGGGAAACACUGGAAAGUGAGAGACUUUAUUUUGGGGGAACUCUAAAAUCACUGCAGAUGGUAACUACAGCCAUGAAAUUAAAAGAUGCUUGCUCCUUGGAAGAAAAGUUAUGACUAACCUAGACAGCAUAUUAAAAAGUGGAGACAUUACUUUGCCAACAAAAGUCUGUCUAGUCAAGGCUAUGGUUUUUCCAGUGGUUGUGUAUGGAUGUGAGAGUUGGACUAUAAAGAAAGCUGAGCACCGAAGAAUUGAUGCUUUUGAACUAUGGUGCUGGAGAAGACUCUUGAGAGUCCCUUGGAUUGCAAAGAGAUCAAACCAGUCCAUCCUAAAGGAAAUCAGUCCUGAAUUUUCAUUGGAAGGACUGAUGCUGAAACUAAAACUCCAAUCCUCUGGCCACCUGAUGUGAAGAACUGACACAUUGGAAAAGCCCUGAUGCUGGGAAAGAUUGAAGGUGGGAGGAGAAGGGGACGACAGAGGAUGAGAUGGUUGGAUGGCAUCACUGACUCAAUGGACAGGAGUUUGAGUAAACUCCAGGAGUUGGCGAUGGACAGGGAAGCCUGGCGUGCUGCAGUCCAUGGGGUCGCAAAGAGUAGGACACGACUAAGUGACUGAACUGAACUCAACUGAAAGCAAGUCGCAAAGCAGACUCAAGACUGCGUUACAGCCGCACAUUCCUGCUAAGCAUGUGAAGUGUGGCCUGGCCUUAGCAAUCUCGGUUGCAGAGGACGGCAGUCUGGGACUGAGGGGAGGAGGAGAGGGACUCACUCCCCAACCUGGACGGAGCCUGGCGCGGCUCUUCCG